This 939-nucleotide small RNA is filed under the name Drosophila yakuba. RNAcentral describes it as "GE28871". The record is from RNAcentral. Lineage: Eukaryota; Metazoa; Arthropoda; Insecta; Diptera; Drosophilidae.
UUAAACAAUUUAUUUUUUGGGGUUUUAUCUUCGCUUUUUAUAUUGAUUAUGUUGUUGCAUGUGUCAACGCCCAUGUCCAACGUCUGGGGGAACCUUUUGGCGGCACUGGCAUUAACGACUCUAGAGUGCAUAUACACAUGCGGCUGCCUGCCAGCCGGAGUCCAGUCUGGGGUCCAGAAGCCAUUUCUCGUAUCCCCGAACUCGGCAUCCAGACACCGUGUAUCCCGAUAUCCUCUCGAUGUGAGAUAUCGGAUGGCUCCCGAUGCAAGCGUGCUUGUGGCUCCUCCAACGUUUGGCCCCACAUAUGAAAGCCUGUUAAAUAUUUAUGAGUAUUGAAAUGUUGCCUCGAUGCAUAUUAUAACAAAUGAAACGUCAAUUUCAUGCAAAAAAUGCAAACAGAAGCGACAUCCCAAGGAUGGCUGAUGUAGAUCUGCCCCACCAGACAGAAAAGGACAUGGAGCUGGACAUGGGCUGCCAGGAACUCUCCAACUCCAGUACCUAGGCGAAAUAAGGUGCAGUUGCCUCUGCCGGCACGUGACAGGCCUAUGACCGAAGGACAAGUGGGUGUCCAUCUCGUUCGGAUCCGGCGGCUCCUCAUUGCGGCGUCCUUUGGUUUUUGCACAAUUUUAUUUUGGAAUUGCAUGCAUGGCCCUGAGGACUGCAGCACAUUCAAUUUGGAAGCUCAAGUGGUGUUCGACCACAUAAGACAUACAUUUCAUGGGCCUUUGGAAUAGACAAUGGGAUAGGACGGACAUUGGCCCACAAUGAGAAAAAAAACCCAAGAAGCGCUAAGAACUUAAAGAGCAAACAGAUGCAAUGGCAACCCGAAAAGCAGCAGGCUAAUUUGUGAGGGAGCAAUAAAAAUUGUUUAUUGAAACGAAAAAAGUGUGCGCCAGAGAAACUUGAAAUAUACUCCCCGCGUCUCUCUACACACCCAUA